UGGGCGUAGAGGGCUCGCAGGCGGUUUCUUAAGUCUGAUGUGAAAGCCCCCGGCUCAACCGGGGAGGGUCAUUGGAAACUGGGGAACUUGAGUGCAGAAGAGGAGAGUGGAAUUCCACGUGUAGCGGUGAAAUGCGUAGAGAUGUGGAGGAACACCAGUGGCGAAGGCGACUCUCUGGUCUGUAACUGACGCUGAGGAGCGAAAGCGUGGGGAGCGAACAGGAUUAGAUACCCUGGUAGUCCACGCCGUAAACGAUGAGUGCUAAGUGUUAGGGGGUUUCCGCCCCUUAGUGCUGCAGCUAACGCAUUAAGCACUCCGCCUGGGGAGUACGGUCGCAAGACUGAAACUCAAAGGAAUUGACGGGGGCCCGCACAAGCGGUGGAGCAUGUGGUUUAAUUCGAAGCAACGCGAAGAACCUUACCAGGUCUUGACAUCCUCUGACAAUCCUAGAGAUAGGACGUCCCCUUCGGGGGCAGAGUGACAGGUGGUGCAUGGUUGUCGUCAGCUCGUGUCGUGAGAUGUUGGGUUAAGUCCCGCAACGAGCGCAACCCUUGAUCUUAGUUGCCAGCAUUCAGUUGGGCACUCUAAGGUGACUGCCGGUGACAAACCGGAGGAAGGUGGGGAUGACGUCAAAUCAUCAUGCCCCUUAUGACCUGGGCUACACACGUGCUACAAUGGACAGAACAAAGGGCAGCGAAACCGCGAGGUUAAGCCAAUCCCACAAAUCUGUUCUCAGUUCGGAUCGCAGUCUGCAACUCGACUGCGUGAAGCUGGAAUCGCUAGUAAUCGCGGAUCAGCAUGCCGCGGUGAAUA
This 813-nucleotide ribosomal RNA is filed under the name Bacillus subtilis. RNAcentral's name for it is "bacterial SSU rRNA". It matches the Rfam family "Bacterial small subunit ribosomal RNA", at positions 555 to 1368 of the family's 1533-position model. Lineage: Bacteria; Bacillati; Bacillota; Bacilli; Caryophanales; Bacillaceae. The record is from RNAcentral.